AAAAAGCCUGGUCCUGACUUUAACGUCAGUUGUAACCCAACUUACACAUGCAAGUACCCGCACCCCUGUGAGAAUGCCCUUUCCCCCCGGCAGGAGAAAAGGAGCAGGCAUCAGGCACACAUUUGCAGCCCAAGACGCCUUGCUUAGCCACACCCCCAAGGGAACGCAGCAGUGACAAACAUUAAGCCAUGAGCGAAAGCUUGACUUAGUUAGGGUUAACAGGGCCGGUAAAACUCGUGCCAGCAACCGCGGUUACACGAGAGGCCCGAAUUGACACAUCACGGCGUAAAGUGUGAUUAGAGAUAAACCAGACUAGAGCCAAACACCCCUUAUGCUGUCAUACGCCAUGGGGGUCACGAAGACCAACGACGAAGGUGGUUCUAAUAACCUAAUCUUGAACUCACGACAGCCAAGACACAAACUGGGAUUAGAUACCCCACUAUGCUUGGCCUUAAACUAAGGCGACAAACCUACAAACUUCGCCCGCCAGGGAACUACGAGCCCUAGCUUAAAACCCAAGGGACUUGGCGGUGCCUCAAACCCACCUAGAGGAGCCUGUCCUAUAACCGAUGAUCCCCGUUUAACCUCACCCCUCCUUGUUAAUCCCGCCUAUAUACCGCCGUCGCCAGUUUACCUUUUGAAAGAACAACAGUAAGCAAAAUGGGUAACAUCCAACACGUCAGGUCGAGGUGUAGCGAAUGGAGGGGGAAGAGAUGGGCUACAUUUUCUGGCAACAGAACACUACGAAGAGCACAAUGAAAUAUGUGCGGCCGAAGGUGGAUUUAGCAGUAAAAAGAAAGAAGAGAGUUCUUUUGAAACCGGCCCUGAGGCGCGUACACACCGCCCGUCACUCUCCUCGAAAAACGAAACGCCAAUAUAUAAAAUUUUAGACCAAUAGAGAGGAGGCAAGUCGUAACAUGGUAAGUGUACUGGAAGGUGCACUUGGAAUAAU
This 952-nucleotide non-coding RNA is filed under the name Gymnothorax emmae. Its description in RNAcentral is "12S ribosomal RNA". It matches the Rfam family "Bacterial small subunit ribosomal RNA". The record is from RNAcentral. Lineage: Eukaryota; Metazoa; Chordata; Actinopteri; Anguilliformes; Muraenidae.